Molecule: ribosomal RNA, 449 nt
Filed under: uncultured bacterium
Lineage: Bacteria
Description: bacterial SSU rRNA
Rfam family: Bacterial small subunit ribosomal RNA
Source: RNAcentral
UGGGGAAUAUUGGACAAUGGGGGAAACCCUGAUCCAGCAAUGCCGCGUGGGUGAAGAAGGCCUGCGGGUUGUAAAGCCCUUUCGGUGAAGACAAAACGCGACGUGCUAAUACCACGUUGUUUUGAUUUAACUCACUAAAGAAGCACCGGCUAACUCUGUGCCAGCAGCCGCGGUAAUACAGAGGGUGCAAGCGUUAAUCGGAAUUACUGGGCGUAAAGCGCACGUAGGUGGCUUGGUAAGUUGGGUGUGAAAUCCCCGAGCUUAACUUGGGAAUUGCAUUCAAGACUGCCUUGCUAGAGUGUGGAAGAGGGAAGCGGAAUUCCAGGUGUAGCGGUGAAAUGCGUAGAUAUCUGGAGGAACAUCAGUGGCGAAGGCGGCUUCCUGGUCCAACACUGACACUGAGGUGCGAAAGCGUGGGGAGCAAACAGGAUUAGAUACCCCCGUAGUCC